AUUCGGAUAAUUCAAGAUAAUCGCGGGAAAUUAGGAGCAAGGCUAAGUUCUUGAUCUCGUUUAGCACACAAGUUGUCUAUGAAAAUAUCGAUGCGGAAACAUUGAGAAAGGCCAAGGGCAAAUUUGAAAAUUUGGAAAAUAGUUUUCAUGAACAACAAACAUUUGUCAUGGAAUAAAAUGGGCUUGGGAUGAAAAAAAAAAAAGAAGGAAAAGAGAGGUUUGGGCUUGAAAAAUAGCCAAGGUGGCCGGCCAAGGUGCUUGGGCUAAGCCCACAUGGGAAUUAAUAUAUGCAACUAAGAAGAUGACAAAUUCAUCAUCUUUUCUCAUCCAUAGAGAAUUCUAGAAUUUUGGAGAAAAAAAAAGAAUAAGGCCAUGUGUUUAUAUUCUUAUACUUGAGGGGCUUAAAAAUAAAUAUAGAUUAAUGGUGGAAGAAAAGGAUAAAUAAGACAUGUUUGUCUUCAUCUUUAGAAAGAUGAAAAACAAACUUGAAGAAGGAGAAAAACCACUAAGGCCAUUCGGCCAUGGAGGAGCAAAAUUGCUCCCUUGAAAUUUUGACCAAAAAAAAUUAUUUCUCCUAGCAUUCCUACCAAUUAGAAGGUCCUCUUUAACAUGGUAAAAUUGUUAAAGCAAGAAUCCCUCUCUUUGUUGCAAGUUCACAACUUUAGCCAAGAGAGAAGAUAAGUGGAAGAGACUAGCAAGCUUGGACAAAUAAGCGUAGCUAAUAAGGCGUGGCACAGGUACACCCAGAUAAGUGGAAAAUAUUACAGAAGAUGUUCCAGCGAAGUUGGCAAGCUCCGUUUUGUUCCUGGAGUGUUGCCAGGUCAGAGUAUUAUGUUAUGAUGUUUUGUUCGAAGUUAGAGACUUUGCAGACAGCGUCGUGGGUAUUGGUCGUCAAUCUCUUCGGGAAGAUUGUUACUUGCUUUCGCAAUGCAGCCAUUGAUGUCCACUCAGUAUGCCUUCCUCCCUCCAAACUGAAUUUCGUUGCCUUCCUCACUCAGUAUGUGUUGAUCUAUGGCAUCUUAGGUGGCCAAAAAAGCAGAAUUGCAUUUGCAAAGAUAACUUUCAAAAAGCCUCACAUAUUGCUUCUUGAUGAGCCAUCAGAUCACUUGGAUCUGGACGCUGUGGAGGCCCUGAUACAAGGUCUUGUCUUGUUCCAAGGAGGCGUACUGAUGGUACUAUGAGACUUCUGUCAAUGUUCUUGGCUAAAUGGAAACAUAACGGGUGACCCCUUUCGACGGGACAUUCCAUGAUUACAAGAAACUACUGCAAUCAUCAUAAACAGUUAUAACAAAGGUUGAUCAUUUCUGAAGUGGACGAACUAUUAUUAGUUACUUCAUGGAGUAGGACCCCUACUGUAUAUGCAUGAAAAUGACAAUUUAACAGUAGGCAACAGAUGGAGGCAGAAAAGCAGCGAUGCAUUUAAGUUUUUCACACGAUCUUCAUUUUGUUGUUUUGAUAGAAGUGAUCAUAGUUGUCAUUUGUCCAUGUGAAUGUUUUAAUCGUUUUAUUUUUCCUUUUAUAAAACCAAAGACAUAUUUGUCAUGAUUUGAUCUUGUGUAUUUAUCGAUUAAAACGUGUCAUGAUUAAUUAAAAUGCCUACAUGACAUGGCAAUUAAGGGGUUUUAUGGAAAACAUAUAUGUGAAUU
Molecule: RNA transcript, 1646 nt
Organism: Lycium barbarum (goji berry)
Lineage: Eukaryota; Viridiplantae; Streptophyta; Magnoliopsida; Solanales; Solanaceae
Gene name: ABC transporter F family member 2-like
Exons: 6
Source: RefSeq, a predicted model, not a curated record